GUACUUCCAAGUACGAUACUGCUGACAGGUUAAGCCCCUCAAUCCCAAUUAGAGCCAACAACCUCCACAUCAGUAUAAUUUCCAUAAACAUUAAAAUAGAUGGACAUGGAGGUACUGCCGCAAUCGUGCUACACACAUCAUCAAUCGUGUCGCACUCUCCACUGAACAAAAACAACCAAUGUUGUAUCUUGCAUCCAAGGAGUACAUGGCUGUACUUUGCACAUCAUAAAUGCAAUCUGCAAAAUCUAGUCAUCUGCGCCAAGAACUACCCACUUUCUGUACACCUUUCACAACCAAGCCCAUGUACACUGCGACUGAUACUGGGGCAAGAAUACAGUACCUGCAUGAUUAUCCAGGUUGGACUGACUCUGGUCUGCUCUCUGCCUCACGUCAGAAGAACCCUGGAUAGAUAAAUCGGAAGCUGUACAGGAUUUGUAUCCAGAGUCAAAUAUAGCAAUGGCGCGGUCAAGUCAGAUCACCUUAUUCGCACACCUUAGUCUGUUAAUAGCCCUUAUGUAUUGGUGAGCUUUACAUAUUGUCGAAAUUCAGACUUGCACCUUGGCCCAUCCCAUACACCCAAAAAGCCUAACUGUAAACAUUGAUUCAUCCACGAUAGGAACGUAUCAGCUAAUAUGUCCAUUCGAUCCACCUUACCAAGACUAGUCAAGACAGCCAGAGUAAACGUGCCCCAACCCCGUUCGAUAAAUACAGAUCAAGCCAGCCUGCCAUCUUACCUGCAUAUGAUGACGGAUUGCAGAUGAACACCUGAGAUCUAUUGCUGCCCCAACUCCGUUUCCAAUCUGGCCUGCAGCGCAAAUAGAUCCAUGAAUGAUCACCAUCCUGCUAUGCGCCCAAUGGCAAAGUACAUCCCGACAACCAGAGAAACCAUGCGCACGGCUGAAGUGAGGUAUUUACCUUCGAUAGAUCCGUACAAUGGCCGGCUGGGCGAGAUGUCGAGGGCGGCGGUGCCCGCUGCCGCCCCGGCGCUGGGUUUCCCCGGCGGCCCGCCCGUCCCGGUGCCUCCUCGCCGCACCAGAACCUCCUGCGUCUCGCUCAGGAUCGGGUCCCCUCGGCCUCUCUGCCCCUGCUGAAUCCCCCUCCCCCGCCGGCUAGCCUGCUCCUAGAGAUAAAGGGGGGCGCAUAUAGACCAGAGUCACGGGCCGUGUCCCAUAGCUGUUUGUCUCGUUUCUAGCUGAUGAACAGUACCCUACGCUAUGUAGUAGGCGAGAUCACGGACGAAGGACCUGCUAACCCGACCGAUAUAACCGUGGCCUGGCAAACUUACGGUAGCGGCUGGCACAUAUCACGAG
RNAcentral lists this long non-coding RNA (1310 nucleotides) under Triticum aestivum (bread wheat). Its description in RNAcentral is "long non-coding RNA (TAES_LNC024946)". The record is from RNAcentral. Lineage: Eukaryota; Viridiplantae; Streptophyta; Magnoliopsida; Poales; Poaceae.